Trichomycterus rosablanca is the source of this 594-nucleotide long non-coding RNA. RefSeq lists it as uncharacterized. Lineage: Eukaryota; Metazoa; Chordata; Actinopteri; Siluriformes; Trichomycteridae. The transcript is spliced from 4 exons. The record is from RefSeq and is a predicted model, not a curated record.
AGGCACAUUGUGUUUCAAUGGCAUCUCAGAUGGUUGGAAAUGUGUAUUUGCAGUUGGACCGACCUUUUACUGGAUUCCUCCAAUCACGCAAUACCAUCAGCGCUAGGAGGGUAAAGGAUGGUGAUAUGGCUGCAACUGAACGGGUGAUCAGGAGACUGUUCUUGGGAUCUAUGUGACUAGAGUUGAGGGAGCUGAAGCCAUGGACCCACCUGCCAAUACUGGAGUGGUAUUAGACGGUGGUGUGGUUCUAGAAGACCUGGGCAGUGUGUUCCUUGCCUUUGCAGUUCGGGCUGAUUUAUGCCUUAUAUAUUUAUAACCUUAUGAUUUAGAACUUGAGUUACCCUCCUACAUUCAGAUACACUUUUGAUGCACUCCAAAAACUGUUUCUGGAACUAGAUGCUAACAAACUGUCUCAUAAAGCUCAAUUACUAAAUAUAAAGCUAUUCAGUGAGAUGUGGUCCAUACUGAGUAUUACACUUGUGACGUACUGUUUAUCGAAUCCCACUGUGGUUGCACUUUCUGAAAACUUUAAUGUUGGCACUGACUUUUGUACAUAAUUCAGAUUUGUUUAGAAGUGUUUCAUGCUCAUGUUUU